AGAUCACAAUGAGCCUUGUGCUAAAGCUGGAAUAACAGAAGAUUAGCAUGACCCUUGCACAAAGAUUACACACAAAUUCAUGAAUCAUUCCAUAUUUUU
This 99-nucleotide small nuclear RNA is filed under the name Neogale vison (American mink). Lineage: Eukaryota; Metazoa; Chordata; Mammalia; Carnivora; Mustelidae. The record is from RNAcentral.